GGCGGUUCUCCGGUGAUGCACCCUGAAAUUGGGCUCCCUCCUCUCUGGUUCUGGGUGUCUCUGUUUCGGGUAUGUCACCGGAGAACUGAGCA
Molecule: non-coding RNA, 92 nt
Organism: Myotis brandtii (Brandt's bat)
Lineage: Eukaryota; Metazoa; Chordata; Mammalia; Chiroptera; Vespertilionidae
Source: Rfam